GUACCCCUCUCCACCCCGUUGGUUUCGGCCAAUUGUUUAGGGCUUGGGAUCGUGAUGCGUGCCGCGUUAUAGCGGCUGCAUUGAAAUAUAAGAAGCUGAAUCGGCUCGUGCGGCUUGACCCGUUGUUAUAACUAAACUUCAAUGGGAACGCACGUUGGUUGAACGCGCUUACCACAAAUUCAUUAGUGCA
RNAcentral lists this unclassified non-coding RNA (190 nucleotides) under uncultured Basidiomycota. RNAcentral's name for it is "sequence contains ITS2". The record is from RNAcentral. Lineage: Eukaryota; Fungi; Basidiomycota.